RNAcentral lists this ribosomal RNA (497 nucleotides) under uncultured bacterium. RNAcentral's name for it is "partial 16S ribosomal RNA". It matches the Rfam family "Bacterial small subunit ribosomal RNA", at positions 28 to 507 of the family's 1533-position model. The record is from RNAcentral.
GACGAACGCUGGCGGCGUGCCUAAUACAUGCAAGUUGAGCGAUGAAGAUUGGUGCUUGCACCAAUUUGAAGAGCAGCGAACGGGUGAGUAACGCGUGGGGAAUCUGCCUUUGAGCGGGGGACAACAUUUGGAAACGAAUGCUAAUACCGCAUAACAACUUUAAACAUAAGUUUUAAGUUUGAAAGAUGCAAUUGCAUCACUCAAAGAUGAUCCCGCGUUGUAUUAGCUAGUUGGUGAGGUAAAGGCUCACCAAGGCGAUGAUACAUAGCCGACCUGAGAGGGUGGUCGGCCACAUUGGGACUGAGACACGGCCCAAACUCCUACGGGAGGCAGCAGUAGGGAAUCUUCGGCAAUGGACGAAAGUCUGACCGAGCAACGCCGCGUGAGUGAAGAAGGUUGUCGGAUCGUAAAACUCUGUUGGUAGAGAAGAACGUUGGUGAGAGUGGAAAGCUCAUCAAGUGACGGUAACUACCCAGAAAGGGACGGCUAACUACGUG